UGGGGAAUUUUGGACAAUGGGCGAAAGCCUGAUCCAGCAAUGCCGCGUGUGUGAAGAAGGCCUUCGGGUUGUAAAGCACUUUUGCCCGGAAAGAAAUCCUUGGCUCUAAUACAGUCGGGGGGAUGACGGUACCGGAAGAAUAAGCACCGGCUAACUACGUGCCAGCAGCCGCGGUAAUACGUAGGGUGCAAGCGUUAAUCGGAAUUACUGGGCGUAAAGCGUGCGCAGGCGGUUUGCUAAGACCGAUGUGAAAUCCCCGGGCUCAACCUGGGAACUGCAUUGGUGACUGGCAGGCUAGAGUAUGGCAGAGGGGGGUAGAAUUCCACGUGUAGCAGUGAAAGUGCGUAGAGAUGUGGAGGAAUACCGAUGGCGAAGGCAGCCCCCUGGGCCAAUACUGACGCUCAUGCACGAAAGCGUGGGGAGCAAACAGGAUUAGAUACCCUGGUAGUCCACGCCCUAAACGAUGUCAACUAGUUGUUGGGGAUUCAUUUCCUUAGUAACGUAGCUAACGCGUGAAGUUGACCGCCUGGGGAGUACGGUCGCAAGAUUAAAACUUAAAUGAAUUGACGGGGU
This 573-nucleotide ribosomal RNA is filed under the name uncultured bacterium. RNAcentral's name for it is "partial 16S ribosomal RNA". It matches the Rfam family "Bacterial small subunit ribosomal RNA", at positions 355 to 919 of the family's 1533-position model. The record is from RNAcentral.